Non-coding RNA from Prunus mume (Japanese apricot), 1276 nucleotides. NCBI's taxonomy places the organism in Eukaryota, Viridiplantae, Streptophyta, Magnoliopsida, Rosales, Rosaceae. The record is from RefSeq and is a predicted model, not a curated record.
CAAUAAAUGAGUCAUUAUGACUUCCUUGAAAAUUUAAUAGAAGAACAAAACCACCUAUCAUCCUCCACCUCCUCCGGCACCCCAUCCUUCGCCUCAUCCGGCAACCUAAAAAGAACUAGACAUUAGUUUUCUACAAUAAAAGCAGAAAACACCCAUAUAAAAAAUUUAGAUAAUAUCAUAAUUAAAGUAAGAUGAAAAAAGAAACUAGAGAGAGAUCUCAGAUGUGACCUCUGUUGCGGGGAUCUGCUUCUUCGGUAUCUGUUUACUCAUUGCAAAGAAACAACCUCGAACUCUGCUUUGGUCGGGGAAGAGUGCACGAUGCUGCGAGCUAUGGCUUUCCCCCAUUUGACGAUUGGGAGUGCUGCUCUCCUCUUUUUCAUAAAUCCACACCCGCUGCCCGGACUCUUGAGUUUUUGCGGAAUUUUUGGAUGCCUGCGUGGCUGUUUUUUCGCACACUCUGCGGAGUUUGUCAAUCUCUUCGGUGACAAAUCUUCAGUUUUCGGGUUGACUACUUUGGAGCAGUGUCUUUGCAAAAACCUGCGUCAUUGAUUGAACUCAAAGGAGUGUGUGUGUAGGUGAAGGCUAUCUGAUGCGUGCACAUUACAAUUGGUGUGGUAUUAACUAACAGGGAAAGUUUAAGGAUAAUAACACAUCACAAUGAAUUGGCUGCAAACUCAUUUGUUUUAUCAUCUUUAAUUUCUAUUAUGUAAUGAUGGUUGGGUGUCCAUUCUAGUCCUUGGCAUUUGCAUUAUUUUUAAGGAAGCCUGUCUAUGGUGGUUCUAGGCUCAGGUUGUUUUUAACCAUUUAAUGAAAGGAUAAAAAAUGCUUUCAUCAAUAAAAUGUAUCAUAUGCACUUUAUUCAUCUGAUGUGUAUGUCGGUUAUUGCUUUUUAGUAGCCUUAUUUUGAUUUCCAAUAUAGAUUCUUAAAUCUGAUUCUCGUCUUCAGGAUGCGACACUUAUACACAGUGCUCUUUCUUUCUACCGAUUGACGGUGGUGUGGCUAGUUCGCUUGUUUGGCGGAUUUAAAAUGCCUCUGCCCUCAACUUGCCCUAUGGAAGUUGAUUGCGUAGGGUGGUUUACGCCGAAAAAUAGAUUGAUUGAAAUCAUUUGUUUCGAAUUUGAUUGCGUAGGGUGGUUUAGAGAUAAUUGAUUCUUGUAUCGUUAUUUCAGCUGCAACAAAAAAUGUGUCAUUGUUGAAUUGAAGUUUACGUCAUAUAGCAACUUUUGUCAAUGGUUUUGGACUGGUUAAAAUGAAGAGGGUUUCAGAUUGAGAUUA